UUCCGGUUGAUCCUGCCGGAGGCCAUUGCUAUCGGAGUCCGAUUUAGCCAUGCUAGUUGUGCGGGUUUAGACCCGCAGCGGAACGCUCAGUAACACGUGGCCAAGCUACCCUGUGGCCGGGAAUACUCUCGGGCAACUGAGGCUAAGCCCCGAUAACGCUUUGCUCCUGGAACGGGCAAAGCCGGAAACGCUCCGGCGUCACAGGGUGCGGCUGCGGCCGAUUAGGUAGACGGUUGGGUAACGGCCCACCGUGCCCAUAAUCGGUACGGGUUGUGAGAGCAAGAGCCCGGAGACGGGAUCUGAGACAAGAUUCCGGGCCCUAUGGGGCGCAGCAGGCGAGAAACCUUUACACUGUACGAAAGUGCGAUAAGGGAACUCCGAGUGUGAAGGCAUAGAGUCUUCACUUUCGUACACCGUAAGGUGGUGCACGAAUAAGGACUAGGCAAGACCGGUGCCAGUCGCCGCGGUAAUACAGGCAGUCCGAGUGAUGGCCGAUCUUAGUGGGCCUAAAGCGUCCGUAUCUGGCUGAACACGUCCGUUGGGAAAUCUGUCCGCUUAACGGGCAGGCGUCCAGCGGAAACUGUUCAGCUUGGGACCGGAAGACCUGAGGGGUACGUCUGGGGUAGGAGUGAACUCCUGUAAUCCUGGGCGGACCGCCGGUGGCGAAAGCGCCUCAGGAGACCGGAUCCGACAGUGAGGGACGAAAGCUAGGGUCUCGAACCGAAUUAGAUACCCGGUUAGUCCUAGCUGUAAACGAUGUCUGCUAGGUGUGGCGCAGGCUACGAGCCUACGCUGUGCCGUAUGGAAGCCGAGAAGCGGACCGCCUGGGGAGUACGUCUGCAAGGAUGAAACUUAAAGGAAUUGGCGGGGGAGCACUACAACCGGAGGAGCCUGCGGUUUAAUUGGACUCAAAGCCGGACAUCUCACCAGCCCAGACAGUAGUAAUGACGGUCAGGUUGAUGACCUUAUCCGAGGCUACUGAGAGGAGGUGCAUGGCCGCCGUCAGCUCGUACCGUGAGGCGUCCUGUUAAGUCAGGCAACGAGCGAGACCCGCACUCCUAAUCGCCAGCAGUACCCUUUUGGUAGCUGGGUACAUUAGGUGGACUGACGCUGCCAAAGCGGAGGAAGGAACGGGCAACGGUAGGUCAGUAUGCCCCGAAUGGGCUGGGCAACACGCGGGCUACAAUGGUCGAGACAAUGGAAAGCCACUCCGAGAGGAGGCGCUAAUUUCCUAAGCUCGAUCGUAGUUCGGAUUGAAGGCUGAAGCUCGCCCUCAUGAAGCUGGAUUCGGUAGUAAUCGCGUGUCAGCAGCGCGCGGUGAAUACGUCCCUGCUCCUUGCACACACCGCCUGUCAAAUCACCCGAGUGGGGCUCGGAUGAGGUCGGCAUGCGCUGGUCAAAUCUGGGCUCCGCAAGGGGUAUUAAGUCGUAGCAAGGUAGCCGUAAGGGAAUCUGCGGCUGGAUCAUCUC
This 1470-nucleotide ribosomal RNA is filed under the name Halobacterium salinarum. RNAcentral describes it as "bacterial SSU rRNA". It matches the Rfam family "Archaeal small subunit ribosomal RNA". Lineage: Archaea; Methanobacteriati; Methanobacteriota; Halobacteria; Halobacteriales; Halobacteriaceae. The record is from RNAcentral.